AGAGUUUGAUCCUGGCUCAGAACGAACGCUGGCGGCAGGCUUAACACAUGCAAGUCGAGCGCCUCGCAAGAGGAGCGGCAGACGGGUGAGUAACGCGUGGGAAUCUACCCAUCUCUACGGAACAACUCCGGGAAACUGGAGCUAAUACCGUAUACGUCCUUCGGGAGAAAGAUUUAUCGGAGAUGGAUGAGCCCGCGUUGGAUUAGCUAGUUGGUGGGGUAAUGGCCUACCAAGGCGACGAUCCAUAGCUGGUCUGAGAGGAUGAUCAGCCACAUUGGGACCGAGACACGGCCCAAACUCCUACGGGAGGCAGCAGUGGGGAAUAUUGGACAAUGGGCGAAAGCCUGAUCCAGCCAUGCCGCGUGAGUGAUGAAGGCCCUAGGGUUGUAAAGCUCUUUCAACGGUGAAGAUAAUGACGGUAACCGUAGAAGAAGCCCCGGCUAACUUCGUGCCAGCAGCCGCGGUAAUACGAAGGGGGCUAGCGUUGUUCGGAAUUACUGGGCGUAAAGCGCACGUAGGCGGAUAUUUAAGUCAGGGGUGAAAUCCCGGGGCUCAACCCCGGAACUGCCUUUGAUACUGGGUAUCUCGAGUCCGAGAGAGGUGAGUGGAAUUCCGAGUGUA
This 621-nucleotide ribosomal RNA is filed under the name uncultured Mesorhizobium sp. RNAcentral describes it as "bacterial SSU rRNA". It matches the Rfam family "Bacterial small subunit ribosomal RNA", at positions 8 to 677 of the family's 1533-position model. The record is from RNAcentral. Lineage: Bacteria; Pseudomonadati; Pseudomonadota; Alphaproteobacteria; Hyphomicrobiales; Phyllobacteriaceae.